GCGGUGGAGUAUGUGGUUUAAUUCGAUGCAACGCGAAGAACCUUACCUGGGUUGGAAACCCCUGGAAUCCUGCAGAGAUGUGGGAGUGCUCUUUUAGAGAAUCAGGUGUCCAGGUGCUGCAUGGUUGUCGUCAGCUCGUGUCGUGAGAUGUUGGGUUAAGUCCCGCAACGAGCGCAACCCCUGUUGUUAGUUGCCAGCGAUUCAGUCGGGCACUCUAACGAGACUGCCGGUGGUAAGCCGGAGGAAGUGGGGAUGACGUCAAAUCCUCAUGGCCCUUAUGCCCAGGGCUACACACGUACUACAAUGGUCGGUACAAAGGGCUGCGAACCCGCGAGGGGGAGCCCAAUCCCAAAAAGCCGACCUCAGUUCGGAUUGUAGUCUGCAACUCGACUGCAUGAAGUCGGAAUCGCUAGUAAUCGCGGAUCAGCAUGUCCGCGGUCGAAUACGUUCCCGGGCCUU
Molecule: ribosomal RNA, 459 nt
Filed under: uncultured Nannocystineae bacterium
Lineage: Bacteria; Pseudomonadati; Myxococcota; Myxococcia; Myxococcales
Description: bacterial SSU rRNA
Rfam family: Bacterial small subunit ribosomal RNA
Source: RNAcentral